Molecule: ribosomal RNA, 467 nt
Filed under: uncultured bacterium
Lineage: Bacteria
Description: partial 16S ribosomal RNA
Rfam family: Bacterial small subunit ribosomal RNA
Source: RNAcentral
ACGCACGCUGGCGGCGUGCUUAACACAUGCAAGUCGAACGGAAAGGCCCUGCUUUUGUGGGGUGCUCGAGUGGCGAACGGGUGAGUAACACGUGAGUAACCUGCCCUUGACUUUGGGAUAACUUCAGGAAACUGGGGCUAAUACCGGAUAGGAGCUCCUGCUGCAUGGUGGGGGUUGGAAAGUUUCGGCGGUUGGGGAUGGACUCGCGGCUUAUCAGCUUGUUGGUGGGGUAGUGGCUUACCAAGGCUUUGACGGGUAGCCGGCCUGAGAGGGUGACCGGCCACAUUGGGACUGAGAUACGGCCCAGACUCCUACGGGAGGCAGCAGUGGGGAAUAUUGCACAAUGGGCGGAAGCCUGAUGCAGCAACGCCGCGUGCGGGAUGACGGCCUUCUGGUUGUAAACCGCUUUCGCCUGUGACGAAGCGUGAGUGACGGUAAUGGGUAAAGAAGCACCGGCUAACUACGUG